Zalophus californianus (California sea lion) is the source of this 546-nucleotide long non-coding RNA. RefSeq lists it as uncharacterized. The transcript has 3 exons. The record is from RefSeq and is a predicted model, not a curated record. NCBI's taxonomy places the organism in Eukaryota, Metazoa, Chordata, Mammalia, Carnivora, Otariidae.
ACAGUCCCCACUGCUCUUGCUGGAGCCAAAGGGCAAAGAGAGGAAGGGGCCAAAGAAAUGGCAGAGGAAUGAGAACCGAAGAAGGGAAGCCAUGGGGCAGAAGAGAAACACUUCAGAGUCCCUGCUCACCAGGCUUCUGCCGCAUCCCAGAUACAGAAUUUCAGAGAAGGCCACAAUCGUGAGCCUAACGAAAGCAUUUUGAGGAAAACAUUUCCUCAUGUUUUACAAGGAUUCUACACACAUUCUGCAUCCUGCCGAGUUAAGCUUUAUCACACAAACCCCUGGGAACAGGAGGACCCUGAGAGGAGAAUGGGAGAAGCAUCAUUCUUUCCCACAUCAUGCCAUGGAUGUUAGAGGCAAGGCCUUCACAUGAGCCUUUAGGAGAACAUAUGGUGAUGCAAAUCCUUUGAAGAAUCUUGAGACCUUGGACAACCAUCUUACUGGCUAUGGACUGUCUCAGAACUCCUAUUAUGCUGAAUGGAAAUAAGCUUCUACCUUUUAUUGUUAAGUUUAAAGACAACUAAAACCCAACUUAGACACUUUAAG